UGACGCUGCCACAAAUUAAUGUUCAUGUCCAUUCUAGUAUUCUAUGAAGAGUGUCUUCUUUCAACUAAAAUAACACAAGGACCUGAGCCCUAGGACCAUGCCUCAGGACUACCUGGCAUGAUGACUGCUUGCUGUCCCCAGUCCACCUGGCCGUGCUGCUGCUCCAGUUUCAACUGUUCUGCCUGCGGCUAUGGAACCCUGACCUGUUCACCGGACGUGCUUGUUGCACCCUCGACAACUACUAUGAUUAUUAUUAUUUGACCAUGCUGGUCAUUUAUGAACAUUUUAACAUCUUGACCAUGUUCUGUUAUAAUAUCCACCCGGCACAGCCAGAAGAGGACUGGCCACCCCUCAUAGCCUGGUUCCUCUCUAGGUUUCUUCCUAGGUUUUUGGCCUUUCUAGGGAGUUUUUCCUAGGGAGUUUUUCCUAGCCACCGUGCUUCUUUCACAUGCAUUGCUUGCUGUUUGGGGUUUUAGGCUGGGUUUCUGUACAGCACUUUGAGAUAUCAGCUGAUGUACGAAGGGCUAUAUAAAUACAUUUGAUUUGAUUUGAUUUUGAUUUGGUCAUUUAUGAGGAGAAUCAUUAUAACAGUUGAUAAUAUAAAAAAAGAAGACAUCUAGGCUAAUUAAAAUGGGUCGGAUGCAGACCAAGCAGUUACAGUUUGAACCCGAUGCAUGGCCCAACAAUUGGCCGUGUCAUCACACAGUUCCAUGAUUAAUGCAGGCAGGAGAUGAGGGUACAGCCUACUAUUGUACACUAUUCUGCCUAUUACAAUUCUAUGUACACUAAUCUGUACUCUAGACAUUACCAUGGGUUGGAAACAAGGUUUUCCAUCCAUUCCCAUCCCCCCUAGCAACCAGGGAUGCU
RNAcentral lists this long non-coding RNA (867 nucleotides) under Salmo salar (Atlantic salmon). RNAcentral describes it as "lncRNA (ENSSSAG00000087347.1)". Lineage: Eukaryota; Metazoa; Chordata; Actinopteri; Salmoniformes; Salmonidae. The record is from RNAcentral.